ACAGCCAGGAACAGACGUUCCAAAUUUAUUCCUUUUUUUCGGGACAGUUUCCCGCCACCGUAACAAAAGUUCAGUGCGCGCGUGUGACGGUAAGUGAAAUCCGUCAGUGUAUCGGUGUGUGGUCCGGGCAUACAAAAGUCCUGGUGUAGGGUCGCCGAGACGGGAAGCUAAUCGCUAAGGAGCUACUCGCUUCCCCGGCUAAAUAAAAAGGACCCAAGUGACACCAGUGCCGUUCUCACUGUGGAGGAUCAGUCGAACGAGCCAAGCUCUCCUCCACAGUUAAUUGCCAAGGAGAACGAAGCAGGGCGGACAAAGGUUCCCCCUGGGAAGUUUACUGCGGUAACUUCCGGGAUCGUUUACGGCGAGUAGACGAUCCGGCGAUUCGUCGCCAACGUCGCUAGGGAGGUUCCAACAAAGGAGCCAAGCUCACCUCCCUAGCUAAAAGCCAAGGACCGCUGCCGGAGCAGCCAACGACACCAGAAGGAGAACGCGGCCGUUGUGUUCCCGGCCGGUCGGAAAAAAAACCGUCGCCUUCCCGCCGCCAUCAGCAGCAGACCGUAAGGAACGACCAGCAGAGGAGAGUUUCGGGAGAAUAAACGAUCGAACACCAACAACAUAAUAUCAUGGUAAUCACCCAGCAAGAGAACGCAGUGAUAAUGGGCCAACAGAAAACACAACAUCAAGAUGCUCGGAAAGGACUUGCUCUUUCGAACAAACAUAAUGGCACGUCAUGUUCAAUCGGCUAACCGUUUGGAAUAAGCGCUCAUCAUCGGUUUCAUGGCAGGGAAGUGAGCAGGCAAAAGCAGGCAUCGUUUUUUCAGCAAGGUCACUCUGGUCAAAAUUUCAGC
Molecule: long non-coding RNA, 848 nt
Organism: Topomyia yanbarensis
Lineage: Eukaryota; Metazoa; Arthropoda; Insecta; Diptera; Culicidae
Exons: 3
Source: RefSeq, a predicted model, not a curated record